Molecule: long non-coding RNA, 5354 nt
Filed under: Sus scrofa (pig)
Lineage: Eukaryota; Metazoa; Chordata; Mammalia; Artiodactyla; Suidae
Description: lncRNA (ENSSSCG00025001570.1)
Source: RNAcentral
GUAGUUAAUUCUUAUUACCUACAAGGGAAGAAAGUGUUUAUAUCUUUCUACAUCGGAACUGGAAACAACAAACCUAUCUUACCUAAGCCACUGAUAUUUGUGUUUUCAUUAUACACAACCAAGCUUAAUUCUUGGUUCAUGAUAUAGAAAAGUCAAUCACAACUAGUACUGAAGGUGUCCAGACAGCAGGGGCUUUCAAGGACACAGACACCAUCUCCCUGGAAUUGUCCCACAUGUCUGCAAGCAGGUGCUGGCCAGCACAAGGCUCAAAAAUUGAAUUUGAAAUUAUUUGUACUGAGUCCAAGGUCUCUAGUGUGUUGGCAAUACCCUACCCCUCCUAUUAUUAUUUAUCCACUUACUUCCUAUAUUUUUCUUCUGGCCCUUAUUGGCAUUUGAGUUUGAGGGCCCUGAUACUCAAUGAACACUGAGAAAUGCCAAGAAUUUCCCCUGGCAAUCAUGCCUACUCUGCACUAAAAUACAUACGUGAGGGUAUUUUCUCUGCUUUCCAUGCAGAUAUUUUGCACCUCAAGGCAAAGUUCCCAUUUUCUUGCAACUCAGUUUCUACAAAUACAUCAGUUCCUAUUAAAAUCAGAUGAUACCAUUCAGUAACCAGAGCUACUCUGUCUACCUAACCCAGCAGGUAAACCCAUAGCUGACCUUUAGAGUUGGAAGAGUGCUCAGAACAGCAUGAAGUGUCUCACAGAUCUAGGCUCUAACUUCAUUCUCUUCCUCAAAGUCAUGAAUGUUGUCUAGCUCAUGGGCACCUCUCCUGCCCCUGGCACCACAAGAGAAACCUUGAGGCCUCGUCUGCCUGCAACAAUGUCUUCCAUGAAGACUCAAAUGUCUUCUGCUCUCCACUAGCAGGAGGGGCCACCGAGGCCACUGGGGAGGGUGGUAGCCUUUAGCAUCUUUGUGCAGAGCCAGUCUCAGGGGACGGAGCCUCAGGACUGCACAGAGGGAGUAUGUGAGCUGUUCAGGAGGGCCUGAAGAACACAAAGAAAAGAACAGCUAUGCCUGCAGAGGUCAGUCCCCAAUCCUAACUCCACCUCACCCCAUCAAAACCCAAACAACAGCUCAUCAGGAAACACAACCUGCCCUCACGCUGAUGCGAAAAUGGGGUUUUUAUGCACAUUAGAGACCACCAAGCAUAAACCAAAUUAAGCCAUCCAUCUCUUCUUUGCUUGUGUCACAGAAGGAGAGGGUAGUCUGCAGAGGAAGAACAUAUGAAAUAGCACAAUUUCUUCGCUUUCUUAAAUUUUUUAUUUUGAAACUAUCAUAGAUUCACAUGCAACUGUAGGAAAUAAUACAGAAAGCUCAUAUGUCCUUCACCCAGCUCCCCCUGGUAACAGUUUACAAAACAACAGCACAAUAUCCUCAGCAGGAGAGGGGUGUGGAGGUCUCUGGGUAGUAUCCGGCCUCAGCCACAAAGUCGCCUUAACACAAUCCAUCCACUUUAUUUACACUUCACCGCUUUUACAUUCACUGAGGGGUGUGUGUGUGUGUGUGGUUCUCUGCAAUUUUAUCACAUGUGUAGAUUUGUGCACUCUCCCCCAGUCAAGAGACACAACAGUCCUAUCACAGGAUGCCUCAUGUUAUCUAACAGUCAUGGCCACCUCACUCCCUAUCCAUAUCCAUAAUCUCUAGCAACUACUAAUCUAUUCUCCAUCACAGCCAGAAUGGUGUCAGACAAGGCUGACAGGGAGCCCAGGAUUUUCAUCCACACCUAGUAAUGAGAAGCAUGCCCUAUCACUUGCAGUGCCAGAGGAAGCCACGUGGAGAUUCUUCCAAAAGAGCAACCACCAUACAUCUGAUUCAAAUACACUUACAAGCACUAUAAGCCAAAAUGGAAUUAUAAAAUAUAUUCAAGCAACUCACAGGAAGGCAGGAAAAAGAAAACAGGGAAAAAAACAAAACAGAGAACAAAAAGAAAGUCAAAGAGAAAAUGGCAGGCUUAGCCCUAACAUAUAAAUACUGACAAUAAAUGUAAAUAGUCUAAAUACACCUACUAAAAGACCGAGAUUGGUAGAAUGGAUUAGAAAACAUAACUCAGUAAUAUGCCAUCUGCAUGAAAUUCACUUCAUAUAACAGAAGAGGUAGGCUAAGCAUAAAAGAAUGGAAAAAGAUAUGCCAUGUAAACAGCAGUCAAAAGAAGAAUGGCUACAUUUAUAUCAAAUAAAGUAGAUUUCAGAGCAAAGAAAAUUUCUCAAGAGAUAUAUACAACAUUUAGAUAUUAUCUAAGUGUUCCUAAAAUAUCCCGAGCAAUUCCAGGUUCUUUCUCAAAGCCAACUCCAUGAUAAUGCUACUUGGGUAUUUCCUCUAACUGCCCAACUGAAAUUUUGUAAUGGUGAUGUAAGGGAUUAAGCUUACUUGCUCUUCUCCCCUAAAUGGAAGUAUGUGAGCACCCAGUGCACAGAAGCAGCUCUUUGAGGAAAAAGGGCUGGCAGCAGAUUUGUCUCACCAAGAACUCCAGCCAGACUCCAGCUAAGUGAAGAAGCAAGACACGGGGUGAAAGGGAGUGCCCCUCUAGGCUCCCCCCAGCCCCCCAGGGGUCAUACAUUGAGAGAUGUUGGUCUCAGGUGCACCAAGAUAGGGGGCAGAGGGAAGUGGGGAGGGUUUAGUUAAGACUUGAGAAUAAACAGAGGUUUCCCCAAAUCUGUCACAAGCUCCUCCAUCAGCUCUGGUCAUACUGGGGCAGCCUGUUGGGAGUGCCCGGCACAGGGAGAGACCAGACUGUUCUCAAAAAAAAAAAAAAAAAAAAAAAANGUUCAAUCCCUGGCCUCACCCAGUGGGUUAAGGAUCCGGUGUUGCCAUGCACUGUGGUGUAGGUUGUGGACAAGGCUUGGAUCCCACAUUGCUACGGCUAUGGUGUAGGCCGGCAGCUACAGCUCCGAUUGGACCCCUAGCAUGGGAACCUCCAUAUGCCACGGGUAUGGCUCUAAAAAGCAAAAACAAACAAACAAACAAACAAAAAAAAAAACCCCAAGUCUCCAAGUCUUGCCAAAGCACCUGGCUUAUCCCACCUAUGUGCUGUAAGGAAUGAAUUUACAGUAUUGUAGUGGGUUCCUAGCCACAUUCCAGAGUGAGAUGUUACUCAGCUUUAAGGCAAAGGAAUAAAUUUUACCCUCCUGGUCUGAGCUGUGGCUUCUACCUUUGUUCUGCAUCUUUAUUCAAAGUCAUUAAGACAUCUGUCCCUGCUGGGAAUGGUACAUCCAUGCACUGCUAUGUGGUUCACAAAGGUAUCUUCAUGGUUAUUAUAGUCCUGUACCCUCAGAAUCACAGGCAUUACCAAACCCAUACAGAGCUACUCAGACUAGUCAGGACGGCUUGUCUCUAGGACCCCCUACCCCUUUUCACUCUUGGAAAAAUGGCAAGUCCCAAGGGCUCUGUUUCCAUUCACCCUCUGAUGCACCUAUGGGAGGGCGUGGUUUUUUCCUCUGUUGCUGAUGGUGUAACCCUAACAAAGGCUUCCUCUAUUUCCAGUAAUCAAAUACGACCUGGCCGGCCAAGAACAUGGUGGGGAUGUGCUCACAACCCCUGACAGUACGUCUCAGGAAAGUUGGCUGCCUUCUCAACAUGCGGCAGGAGCAAUAACCUCUAUCUAACACGAAUGCUGGCAUCCAUUCCACAAGCAACUGUUAAGAGUCCCUACUGUGCUCUCCAAUCAGCCAGGCAAGAGUCAUCCUCCUGACCUCUGGAUUCACAGCAGCGAACCCCCAGGGGGAAGAACGCCCAACAUCCUACUGCCCACACCCACACCCACACCCACAGGGAAAGCCAGGUGCAUUCACAGCUCACACCCUAUCAAUGAUCAGGGAGUGGGGGAACCCACAGACACCUUCCCAGGAUCAACAGCCACAGACAGUCCAGCUGCUUUAAGAAAGAAGGGAACAGAGAGGUUGGUACCAUCACCACCACCACCAUUGCCACCACACAGAGAAAGAAGCGCAUUUCCAACCCAGGAGGAGUGAAGAUGGAAGUGACAGCUUAAGUGACAGACCAAGAUAGUGUCUUCCCCCUUCAAGUUAGGAGAGCAGACAUCAGGGAGGGAGGGUACAGUUCACCAGAAUGAUCAUAAAAAGCCAUCACUGCCCUGCUUAACACCUAAGUCACUGAGAGGUAAUGUUUUAAAGGAAAAGCAUGAAAGCAUCUUUGACUUAGGCCUGCAUAGACACAGCCUGAUGAAGAAAAAGAAGAAAACAGUUCUUGUCAAGCCCCUCAUCACCCCACCACCCUGGAAUCCCCUGCUAGUGGUUCUUGGAUCUAAAUCCGAAGAGCACAGAGACCCUGGCCAGGCCCAGGGUGUGUGCUCUCUACACGGCACCCUUAAUUUUUUUUAAUUUGUUGCCAUUGUUUAAAAUUUGGAAGAUUUCACAUAAAGAAAUCUGGAUUUCUGGCUUCCUUUGAAAUAUCACAAGACAUAGACCCCCUAUGAAUCCACUGCCUAAGCCAACAUGUGGAACUGGGGUGGGUGACAGCCGCUCCCCUUGGAGCCCUCUCGCCUCCAGGUCUGCGCUGGCUUCACCGUGGUGGUGCUGACUAGUCCCAGAAGACACCUAUUAUGGAGUCGAGGCAAGUGACAAUGCCAAAUAGAGACUUGAUAAAGAAGCUCCUGCUCCCCUCUCCCUUCACCACCUCCACCCCCCAAAAAAUUGCCCUCCAAGAGUCUUAUCUCAUUGGAGAAGACUUAUCUGGUACAAAAUCUGAGGAAUGUGGAAGGAGGAACUCAGCCAACAAGCUGAAAGGCAGCCCUGGUUUCAGUGAUAACCCUCAGUGUGCUAGAACUAGAGAUGGAGACCACAGAGCCAACCUGAGUUGGAACAGCAUCUAGGAGGGAGAAGGGAAGAUGCUGCCCCUCCUCCACCCUGUCUUCCUCAGCUCUGGACCCCACAGGGCACUUCCCAUGAGACAUCUAUCAGAGGGAACCAAGGCAGAACAUGUGGCUUACUCCACACUAAAGCUUGGCAACCAGGUCAGCACUGGAAAGAAUUCUUCGCAAGGGACCUGGCCUCUGCCUUGUAGUGCGUGUGUGUGGUCUUGAGCUAGACCCUGGUGCUUUCAGGGCUACUGUUUUCUCAUUUAUCAACAAAGGGCUUAGGACUUCCCUGGGAGUUCCCACUGUGGCACAGCAGAAAUGAACCCGACUAGUAUACAGAAGGAUGUGGGUUCCAUCCCUGGCCUUGCUCAGUGGGUCAAAGGAUCCAGCAUUGCUGUGAGCUGCAGUGUAGACUGCAGAUGUGGCUCGGAUCCCAAGUUGCUAUAGCUGUGGUGUAGGCUGGCAGAUGUAGCUCCGAUUCAAUCCCUAGCCUGGGAACUUCCAUAUAUUGCAGGCACAGCCCUAAAAAGCAAAAAAAAAA